This 305-nucleotide ribosomal RNA is filed under the name uncultured bacterium. RNAcentral's name for it is "bacterial SSU rRNA". It matches the Rfam family "Bacterial small subunit ribosomal RNA", at positions 333 to 633 of the family's 1533-position model. The record is from RNAcentral.
GUGAACCUACGGGGCGCAGCAGUGAGGAAUAUUGGUCAAUGGCCGGAAGGCUGAACCAGCCAAGUAGCGUGCAGGAUGACGGCCCUCCGGGUUGUAAACUGCUUUUAGUUGGGAAUAAAAGGGGGCUCGUGAGCCCCGUAUUGUAUGUACCAUCAGAAAAAGGACCGGCUAAUUCCGUGCCAGCAGCCGCGGUAAUACGGAAGGUCCGGGCGUUAUCCGGAUUUAUUGGGUUUAAAGGGAGCGUAGGCCGGCUUUUAAGUCAGCUGUGAAAGUCCGCGGCUCAACCGUGGAAUUGCAAUUGAUAU